GACGAACGCUGGCGGCGUGCCUAAUACAUGCAAGUUGAGCGCUGAAGGUUGGUACUUGUACCAAAUGGAUGAGCAGCGAACGGGUGAGUAACGCGUGGGGAAUCUGCCUUUGAGCGGGGGACAACAUUUGGAAACGAAUGCUAAUACCGCAUAAAAACUUUAAACACAAGUUUUAAGUUUGAAAGAUGCAAUUGCAUCACUCAAAGAUGAUCCCGCGUUGUAUUAGCUAGUUGGUGAGGUAAAGGCUCACCAAGGCGAUGAUACAUAGCCGACCUGAGAGGGUGAACGGCCAAAAUGGGACUGGGAAACGGCCCAAACUCCUAAGGGGAGGAGCAGUAGGGAAUCUUUGGAAAUGGACGAAAGGCUGACCGAGCAACGCCGCGUGAGGGAAGAAGGUUUUCGGAUCGUAAAACUCUGUUGGUAGAGAAGAAAGUGGGUGAGAGUGGAAAGCUCAUCAAGUGACGGUAACUAAACAGAAAGCAACGGCUAACUACGUG
Molecule: ribosomal RNA, 497 nt
Filed under: uncultured bacterium
Lineage: Bacteria
Description: partial 16S ribosomal RNA
Rfam family: Bacterial small subunit ribosomal RNA
Source: RNAcentral